UGGUUACCUGUAGUUUCGGUCUGAGCAACAUAAGCAUUUUUGGGUGGUCGACCAUGUAAAGAAUGGCACACGUCACGAGUGUGACCAAGUUUAUAACAAUAAGAACACUCUAGAUCUUCCAAAACGACCUCCUUCUCGUUUAUACUCCAUAUUAUGAGAUGCCCGAUUAUCCACUGGUUGGGAUACGAGGAUAGAUGAAUCAAGUGUUUGGGAUGAGCUCACUGGGUGACUUGGUGCUGCAGCAAUGCGAAGUAAGCGAGAGAAUAAUUCAUCAACUGUGGGGACAGUCGGACUAGCCAAAAUCUGAUCGCGUACU
This 316-nucleotide long non-coding RNA is filed under the name Nicotiana benthamiana. Its description in RNAcentral is "long non-coding RNA (NBEN_LNC027016)". The record is from RNAcentral. Lineage: Eukaryota; Viridiplantae; Streptophyta; Magnoliopsida; Solanales; Solanaceae.